GCCAGCAGCCAUAUCACCCUGGCAACCCACUGAAGCUAAGCAGGUGUGAGCCUGGUCAGUACCUGGAUGGGAGAGCUCCUGGGAAAAACUAACGUUGCUGCUGGAA
This 106-nucleotide ribosomal RNA is filed under the name Lepisosteus oculatus (spotted gar). Lineage: Eukaryota; Metazoa; Chordata; Actinopteri; Semionotiformes; Lepisosteidae. The record is from RNAcentral.